Molecule: long non-coding RNA, 389 nt
Filed under: Phoenix dactylifera (date palm)
Lineage: Eukaryota; Viridiplantae; Streptophyta; Magnoliopsida; Arecales; Arecaceae
Description: long non-coding RNA (PDAC_LNC021200)
Source: RNAcentral
CCAAGUCACCGAGAUCAUGUCUCAAUUGGCCACACCUUCAACACGAGCAUCAACAACUCUAUCUUCGAGCAAAACUAUGUGGUUCAGCCGCGAGAUAGAAAACAAGCAUUUUUCCAUCUUUAGUUCUGAUUUAGCUGAAGCUAAUUUUCCUAUAUAAGGAGAGCUCUGAUCCAGAAGGAUCGCCGGACUCGAUGUGGAUCAUUUUGAUCACUACGAGUAUGCAGGAGGAUGACCAAACUCGAUGUUGAUCACUUUAGCCACUAUGGAUAUCCAAGAAGAUCACCAAACUCAACGUGGAAUACUGUCUAUUACGAAAAUUUUGAAGAAUUACCAAACUCGAUGUGGAUCACUUUGGCCACUAUGGAUAUUCAGGAGGAUCAUCAUACUCG